ACCCUCUAGACUCCUUACGCCUUGCAUCUAAAUAUUGGUCGGAGUGGCUGAAAACAAGGAGGACAACUCAUAUUGACGUGGACUUCGCGGCUUUAGUGCCCUACAAGGCCAUUUCGAACAUGA
RNAcentral lists this small nucleolar RNA (123 nucleotides) under Echinops telfairi (small Madagascar hedgehog). RNAcentral describes it as "Small nucleolar RNA SNORA61 (ENSETEG00000025151.1)". The record is from RNAcentral. Lineage: Eukaryota; Metazoa; Chordata; Mammalia; Afrosoricida; Tenrecidae.